AUGGGCGGUCUUCCCUGAGGACGGAGUGGAGGCGCCAUGGCGGUUGCGGGCCAACGUGUGGGGCUGGCUGGUCUGCGGGAGGAAGACGUUCCCCGCCCGCGCCCCGGCCGGUGCAAAGGGGCUGUGCCCUCUCCUCGAGGUUCCGCGUCUUCCUUUCCGGCCGCCCCGCGCGGUGUAUCCCCACCUUCUCAGGAAUAAAAUUAUUUGGAGCGUAUUGUCAGCUAUGGAUCGGCACUUGCUGUCUACCUCGACAAGGAUUAAAUCAGGUGCUGGUGCAGCUGCUGCAGCCGCUGACCUUCAACACCCCCUGAACGGAGUUCAGGGUGGAGAGCGGAAAUGACGUGCUCUGUGCUCGGGGGAAUCUGGCAGGACAGCUCUUCAGAGAGUUAGAUACUUUCAGGAGCUGAUUUUAUGAGCCCAGUUCUUGUAUCUCCUCGUGUCUAGAGAAGCAUUGAAAUCCUUCAUGGUGACGUCAGUAGCCGGAGCCUGCAUGAGACGAGCAGAAACCUUCUGCAAAAAUUAUAUAUGCUCGAUUGCGUGUAUUCCCCCUUCACCAAAAUUACAUAUACACUGACCUUCCCCAUGCUUCUUUGGAACAGUUUCUUGGAGCUAUCUGAGAUUCUGUCUCCCAGGAUAUAGUCUUUAUUUUUCCCCCAAUAAAACUUAACUCACAACUUU
Long non-coding RNA from Aethalodelphis obliquidens (Pacific white-sided dolphin), 678 nucleotides. RefSeq lists it as uncharacterized. The transcript is spliced from 2 exons. The record is from RefSeq and is a predicted model, not a curated record. Lineage: Eukaryota; Metazoa; Chordata; Mammalia; Artiodactyla; Delphinidae.